GUAUCUAUAUGCAUAGUUGCAGAAAUGAGAAAUUAAUUUAUAUAGGCAGGGCUUCUAAUCAGAAAUAAAACCCUAUAGGCAUGGUUUCUACCAUUUGUGCAUAAUAGUAAACCCCCUCCCUUUUCCACUAAAUCCCCAAUUUAUACAAAUUAUUAUAGACCACUAGAACAAACUAAAACUAAAAGUACAUCAGAAACUAUCAAGCUGCAUAUGAGAAGCCUACUUCACACUUAGUGUCUAACAAUACGAGAUUGAACCACUUCCGGGGUCUGGAUCUCAAAAGCCUUCUCUUAAUCUAGGGUGUUUCAAAUUUCCAAGGAAUUUCAGGAAUUCCAGACAAUGCUUACACUCAAGAUAUCAAUCGGAAUGAGAUACACUCCAGUAUGGAAGAGCUAGCCCUCAAGUGUCCAUGUUAAGAGAGAGAUCAAGGAUCCCAAGGUAAGGCUCACAAGAGGGGGAGCAGAACUUAGUUUCUAAGAAUGAGCGCAAGUGCAAUAGAGGGGCUUAGGGAGUGCCAAGGAAGGCUGAUGGUCAUGCCUAGUUAUAUGGUAGGCUGGCACACUCCUGACCAAGUCUGUUCAGCCAGUCAAAUAAGAGUAAAGACCCAUUGGAGGUCAAACUAUGGUCUAGACAGCGAUUAGGACACUGUUAGACCACAGUCUCAAACUCAGAAUACAUGUAAAAGGGAAGGGGGAAUGGGAAUUGAAAGAGUUUAGGAGUCAGGGAGUCCAGUCCAUAGACAUGAACAACAAUGUCAAGUGUUGUCAUUUUUUUUGAACCAUAACUUAACAUACAAAGGGACUAGGGACAGGGAUUCACGUAAAAGCACAUAGAUGAGGAGAUAAGUAAACUUGCAAAACAUUACAGUAUAGAAACAGUAAGACAAAUAAAGAAAGGACUGAAGAAUAAACAUCUAGGGGAGGGGCAAAAAUUAAACAAAAGAGACAUACAAGUUGUAGAAAAAGUAAGCAAAGAAAAAGCAGGAUUCUUUCAGCCAAACCACAAUCAGAGAAAAGAACUUUAAGCUUAUGAGUUCACAGAACUCGAAUACUUUUAAGAAAAUCUAAGUGUAUUUUAUAGAAGAAGUAAUUACUUGUGUUCUAUUUUGAAAGAGAAGAGGUACAUGUAUACAUAGUCUUGAAAACGAGUGAGAAUAAACUAACAAGUAAGGCUUUAACACAAAUAUGGAAAUGAUCACAAUAAGAAUCAAUUAACAUAAGUAUUUCCCUUUAAUCAAGGGGUUGCUGCUCAAAUGGAUACUAACAGGAUUAAUUAACGAAGAAAUUAAUUUGAGAAAGAAUUAUUUUUGACCAUAGAAAGGAUAGUGGAAGUAUAGAGUAAAUAAUUAAGCCCUAUUACAUAACAUACUUAAUUAGGGAAAGCAUUCAGCAAGGCAAAAUAAGGAAAUGAAUCAAUUAAGCUUGACAGACGAGUGUAAUUAGAAUUCAUAAAAGAAAGGUUUUGAAAUCUGUCAGAAGAUUAGAGAUCAAUCAAAGAAAUAACAUGUUUCUGCACUUUAGUAUUCAAACAGGGUGAGCAGGGACAUCAGACAUGCGAAACCAAAUUCAGCAUGCAGAAAUAUGUAUAAGGUUCAGUAGUAAAGUAAACAUUCAAAGCAUAGCAAUCAAAUAGGUUAGGUCACGUUGAGUCAAUAGGAGAAAACAGAGUAUAAGAACAUGCAAAAGUUUCACAGCAACAUGUAAGGAAACCCCUUUUAAAAAUUAGGGUUUCAAUGAUAGUCAUGUUUUACAGUUAAUAGGAGCCUCAAAUCAGAGGAAUCACAUAAAGGAAAAGCUUUUGAAACAAAGAACUUCAAAGAUGAGUCAAGUAUUCAAAUGAACAGUAUCAAACCCAAAGACAUGGGGUUUUUCAACAAUUGUAGAGCUUAAAUAAUGAUAAGUAAUAAAUCAAACAAAACUUAGCAAACACUCGUCUAACAAAUAACCAAAGGAAAUUAGGGUUUUCAACAUGCCAGCUCAGCUAGAAGAACAACGCAAGCAGAACAUCACAAAACAUGUCUAGAAUCAGAGAUGACAUUUGAAGUAACUUAACAAGAAAACUCUAACCAGAAAAGAUAAAGAUUUUUGAAAGCAAAAUUAAAGAAACUUCGAGAAAACUUCUUAGAAAGUUCAAAAACAAAUAGAUCUGUAGAUGAUCUAAAAUAAAAUCGAAAGAACCUUAGACAUUAGGGUUUCAUAAGUAACCCAGGUGAUGAGAAAGGCUUUGAAAACCAUCGAUCUAAGCAAGAGAGUCAAAAGUCAGACUCGAAUAGCCAUGGUUGGCCGAAUAAAGGUUGAAGACGACCAGAGAGCAUUCAUCAAGCAAAGGUUGGUAUAAAUCCUUCAAGAGCUUUUCAUAGGACCUCAGAAACGAGCACGUAGAAGCCAUGAGAGGCUGAUACAGGUCUCCGAUGAGCUUGGAAAGGCAUGGAUUAAGGUUCAGUGAGAGGCGGCACCUAGGGUUUUGAGAGGAUUUCAGAGAGGACAUCAUCUGAAGGUGGCUGAGAGAGGAGAAUGAGGUAGGGUUUGG
This 2529-nucleotide long non-coding RNA is filed under the name Nicotiana benthamiana. RNAcentral describes it as "long non-coding RNA (NBEN_LNC027096)". The record is from RNAcentral. Lineage: Eukaryota; Viridiplantae; Streptophyta; Magnoliopsida; Solanales; Solanaceae.